CAGGUAGGUGGUCUCAUUUGUCUGGGGUGAAAUCCUUGGGCUUAACCCAAGAAGUGCCCCGGAAACGGUGAGACUAGAGUUCUAGAGAGGGUCGUGGAAUUCCCGGUGUAGCGGUGAAAUGCGUAGAGAUCGGGAGGAACACCAGAGGCGAAGGCGGCGACCUGGAUAGACACUGACACUCAACUGCGAAAGCGUGGGGAGAACAA
This 206-nucleotide ribosomal RNA is filed under the name uncultured bacterium. RNAcentral describes it as "partial 16S ribosomal RNA". It matches the Rfam family "Bacterial small subunit ribosomal RNA", at positions 568 to 773 of the family's 1533-position model. The record is from RNAcentral.